GCCGGUAUAGCGCAGUGGUUAGCGCGUCUGUCUCGUAAACAGAAGGCCGCCAGUUCAAAUCUGGCUUCCGGCA
Umbelopsis sp. AD052 is the source of this 73-nucleotide non-coding RNA. The record is from the annotation of a GenBank genome assembly. Lineage: Eukaryota; Fungi; Mucoromycota; Umbelopsidomycetes; Umbelopsidales; Umbelopsidaceae.